AACAUCUGAGGAUCUUGUUAAAAUGCAGAUUCUGAUUCAGUGGGUCUGGGGUGGGGCCUGGGAUUCUGCAUUUCUAACCAGCUCCUUGGUGAUGCUAA
RNAcentral lists this microRNA precursor (98 nucleotides) under Loxodonta africana (African savanna elephant). Its description in RNAcentral is "mir-544 microRNA precursor family". It matches the Rfam family "mir-544 microRNA precursor family". Lineage: Eukaryota; Metazoa; Chordata; Mammalia; Proboscidea; Elephantidae. The record is from Rfam by way of RNAcentral.